RNAcentral lists this ribosomal RNA (368 nucleotides) under uncultured organism. RNAcentral describes it as "bacterial SSU rRNA". It matches the Rfam family "Bacterial small subunit ribosomal RNA", at positions 526 to 896 of the family's 1533-position model. The record is from RNAcentral.
CGGAGGGUGCAAGCGUUAUCCGGAUUCACUGGGUUUAAAGGGUGCGUAGGUGGGUCUGUAAGUCAGCGGUGAAAUCUCCGAGCUUAACUCGGAAACUGCCAUUGAUACUAUAGAUCUUGAAUUAUCUGGAGGUGAGCGGAAUAUGUCAUGUAGCGGUGAAAUGCUUAGAUAUGACAUAGAACACCAAUUGCGAAGGCAGCUCACUACGGAUCGAUUGACACUGAGGCACGAAAGCGUGGGGAUCAAACAGGAUUAGAUACCCUGGUAGUCCACGCCCUAAACGAUGGAUACUCGACAUUUGUGAUAUACUAUAAGUGUCUGAGCGAAAGCAUUAAGUAUCCCACCUGGGAAGUACGACCGCAAGGUUG